RNAcentral lists this transfer RNA (72 nucleotides) under Zingiber officinale. It matches the Rfam family "tRNA". Rfam says of the family: Transfer RNA (tRNA) molecules are approximately 80 nucleotides in length. Their secondary structure includes four short double-helical elements and three loops (D, anti-codon, and T loops). Further hydrogen bonds mediate the characteristic L-shaped molecular structure. tRNAs have two regions of fundamental functional importance: the anti-codon, which is responsible for specific mRNA codon recognition, and the 3' end, to which the tRNAs corresponding amino acid is attached (by aminoacyl-tRNA synthetases). tRNAs cope with the degeneracy of the genetic code in two manners: having more than one tRNA (with a specific anti-codon) for a particular amino acid; and 'wobble' base-pairing, i.e. permitting non-standard base-pairing at the 3rd anti-codon position. Lineage: Eukaryota; Viridiplantae; Streptophyta; Magnoliopsida; Zingiberales; Zingiberaceae. The record is from Rfam by way of RNAcentral.
GGCAAUGUAGCUUAGAUGGUAGAGCGCUCGCUUAGCAUGCGAGUGAUACGAGGAUUGAUACCUGCAUCUCCA